RNAcentral lists this ribosomal RNA (1291 nucleotides) under metagenome. Its description in RNAcentral is "bacterial LSU rRNA". It matches the Rfam family "Bacterial large subunit ribosomal RNA", at positions 1649 to 2925 of the family's 2925-position model. The record is from RNAcentral.
UACCGACACAGGUGGUCGGGUAGAGAAUACCAAGGCGCUUGAGAGAACUCGGGUGAAGGAACUAGGCAAAAUGGCACCGUAACUUCGGGAGAAGGUGCGCCGGCUAGGGUGAAGGAUUUACUCCGUAAGCUCUGGCUGGUCGAAGAUACCAGGCCGCUGCGACUGUUUAUUAAAAACACAGCACUCUGCAAACACGAAAGUGGACGUAUAGGGUGUGACGCCUCCCCGGUGCCGGAAGGUUAAUUGAUGGGGUUAGCGCAAGCGAAGCUCUUGAUCGAAGCCCCGGUAAACGGCGGCCGUAACGAUAACGGUCCUAAGGUAGCGAAAUUCCUUGUCGGGUAAGUUCCGACCUGCACGAAUGGCGUAACGAUGGCGGCGCUGUCUCCACCCGAGACUCAGUGAAAUUGAAAUCGCUGUGAAGAUGCAGUGUAUCCGCGGCUAGACGGAAAGACCCCGUGAACCUUUACUGUAGCUUUGCACUGGACUUUGAGCCUGCUUGUGUAGGAUAGGUGGGAGGCUUUGAAGCGUGGACGCCAGUUCGCGUGGAGCCAUCCUUGAAAUACCACCCUGGCAUGCUUGAGGUUCUAACUCUGGUCCGUAAUCCGGAUCGAGGACAGUGUAUGGUGGGCAGUUUGACUGGGGCGGUCUCCUCCUAAAGAGUAACGGAGGAGUACGAAGGUGCGCUCAGACCGGUCGGAAAUCGGUCGCAGAGUAUAAAGGCAAAAGCGCGCUUGACUGCGAGACAGACACGUCGAGCAGGUACGAAAGUAGGUCUUAGUGAUCCGGUGGUUCUGUAUGGAAGGGCCAUCGCUCAACGGAUAAAAGGUACUCCGGGGAUAACAGGCUGAUACCGCCCAAGAGUUCAUAUCGACGGCGGUGUUUGGCACCUCGAUGUCGGCUCAUCACAUCCUGGGGCUGAAGCCGGUCCCAAGGGUAUGGCUGUUCGCCAUUUAAAGUGGUACGCGAGCUGGGUUUAGAACGUCGUGAGACAGUUCGGUCCCUAUCUGCCGUGGACGUUUGAGAUUUGAGAGGGGCUGCUCCUAGUACGAGAGGACCGGAGUGGACGAACCUCUGGUGUUCCGGUUGUCACGCCAGUGGCAUUGCCGGGUAGCUAUGUUCGGAAAAGAUAACCGCUGAAAGCAUCUAAGCGGGAAACUUGCCUCAAGAUGAGAUCUCACUGGGAACUUGAUUCCCCUGAAGGGCCGUCGAAGACUACGACGUUGAUAGGCUGGGUGUGUAAGCGUUGUGAGGCGUUGAGCUAACCAGUACUAAUUGCCCGUGAGGCUUGACC